UGGGCAUUCGUCAAGCGGUAAGGCACAUGACUUUGACUCAUGGAUACACUGGUUCGAAUCCAGUAUGCCCAG
Molecule: transfer RNA, 72 nt
Filed under: Caudoviricetes sp.
Lineage: Duplodnaviria; Heunggongvirae; Uroviricota; Caudoviricetes
Description: tRNA-Gln
Rfam family: tRNA
About the family: Transfer RNA (tRNA) molecules are approximately 80 nucleotides in length. Their secondary structure includes four short double-helical elements and three loops (D, anti-codon, and T loops).
Source: RNAcentral